This 148-nucleotide non-coding RNA is filed under the name Homo sapiens (human). Lineage: Eukaryota; Metazoa; Chordata; Mammalia; Primates; Hominidae. The record is from Rfam by way of RNAcentral.
GCCGGGUGUGGUGGUGCACACCUGUAAUCCCAGCUACUCAAGAGGCUGAGGCAGGAGAAUUGCUUGAACUCAGGAGCUGGAGGUUGCAGUGAGCCGAGAUCGCACCACUGCAUUCCAGCCUGGGCAACAGAGUGAGACUCUGUCUCAA